Molecule: ribosomal RNA, 255 nt
Filed under: Triticum aestivum (bread wheat)
Lineage: Eukaryota; Viridiplantae; Streptophyta; Magnoliopsida; Poales; Poaceae
Description: partial small subunit ribosomal RNA
Source: RNAcentral
AUGGUGGAGAAGUACAACCUGAAGAACCACACCUACAUGACACAAUUGUUUGAGACACCGCACAAGUGGGCGAAGCCUUACUUCACUGGUGUGUUCUUUGCCAAGAUGACAAGUACACAGCGGAGUGAAAGCGCUAACCACAUGUUGAAGAAUUAUGUGCCUCCAGGCUGCCCCAUGCAUAAGUCUAUCAGGAAGUACAUGAUGUUGCUGUUUGACAGGGAGUCGCAGGAAAAUUAUGAGGAGAAAAGAACCUGA